This is a transfer RNA of Camelus ferus (Wild Bactrian camel), 72 nucleotides long. It matches the Rfam family "tRNA". From Rfam's summary of the family: Transfer RNA (tRNA) molecules are approximately 80 nucleotides in length. Their secondary structure includes four short double-helical elements and three loops (D, anti-codon, and T loops). NCBI's taxonomy places the organism in Eukaryota, Metazoa, Chordata, Mammalia, Artiodactyla, Camelidae. The record is from Rfam.
GAGGGUAUAGCUCAGUGGUGGAGCACAAGCUUAGCAUGCACAAGGUUCUGGAUUCAAUCCCCAGUACCCCCA